AAUGAAUAAAAUCAAAGCCAUGGCAAACUUCAAGAUGUCUAAAAUACACAUGCCAAAUUUCAAGUUCAUCCAGUAAACACCAAGGAUUUCACAAAUCAUAUGAUAUCAUGACUCACAAAAUGUUCACAAUUGACCAAACAGAGGGAAAAUUCUAAAACAAAUAGAAAAUGCAUUCAAAUAUUCCAGGAAAAAUCACAAGCAAACUAGACAUCCAUAAGUAUUAGCAUGAAAAAAUCCAGAGCAAUUGGUAUAGCAUAAGAAUGGA
RNAcentral lists this long non-coding RNA (265 nucleotides) under Lathyrus oleraceus (garden pea). RNAcentral describes it as "Pisum sativum (pea) long non-coding RNA (PSAT_LNC028096)". Lineage: Eukaryota; Viridiplantae; Streptophyta; Magnoliopsida; Fabales; Fabaceae. The record is from RNAcentral.